AACAAGACCCAGUCACCAAACUUUUGGAAGGCGCCCUCUGCUUUUGUUCUUUAAUUUUCCUUUAAGAUCCAGCCAGCCAGAUUCGUGUUCCCUGGCCCGAGGCUGAAAACCCUGGCAGGCUCACACUUUUCUGCAGCUCUUAGGAAACAGCCUGGCCAAUGGUCACUUGAAAUGGAAAACAGUCCCAAUUUGGAAUUUCAGUAUUGGAGCCAAAAUGUUAGUCAAAACUCUAAAUUUUAACAUCCCAUUCCCCUCCCUGCCCCAGCUGAGCCUGCUUAGGGCUGGAAGCCUGCAUGGGAAAGGGGCCUCAGGGAGGAACCUGGCAUCUUUGGGGGCCUCUGCCGGCCUACGGCAACCCAAUUUAGACUCUCUGAAGUCCUGACUGGCAAAGGUCUGCUCUUCUCUGCUCUCAGCUAAAGGGCAUCCCAGGUAGUUCGAUGACGCAGACAUUGCCAUGUGAUCGCGAGACGCUAGUGACAAGGGAGGCAGCCGCAGGCCUCCUUCUUGGGACUUGCAGUUCAUGAGGUGUGUCGAAGCGGAACCCUCCUGCUCUGUGAGCUAGCGGACUGCCAUUUGAUAAGGAGACUGCGUGUAUGAGUGCUGCAGAGAUGGACAAGCUGGCCUGGGAACAAAAUACACUUAUCUUCUAGCAUUCGGUCCAGCUUUUUUUGGGGGUGGGGUGGGGGGGAGUGCUGGGAGAGCGGAUGGGUAGAGGGAGGAACAGAUUUAUUUGGAAGGCCCUGGAAUGUUCAGAUAAUAAAUCCUUUUAUCUCCUCUUCCACCUUCGCAGUGGAAAUGAGUCUCUGGCCAGCUAGGGGAGGGAAUGAAAAAGCACCAGCCUUGGGCUAAAUUCCUAAACGCUUGGGCACACUGCUGGACACGGUGCCCCUCUGUCCCCAGGGUCCUGUGAGAAAAACCGCAGCAUAGAGAGGGACAGAGCAGCGUCAAAGGUGUUCAGAACGACAGCCACCAAAGGCUGAGCGUGCCCACGGUCUCGCAGUAUGCCCAGAUUAUUACUUUCUUGAGCUAUUUCUAUCACCCCAAGCCUUCCACCAAUGACUUGAAAAGGAAUGUCAAGUCUUCUCCUAGUCUCUCGAAUCUCAUUUUGCUGUUUGUAUGUGUGUGUGUGUGUGUGUGUGUGUGCACGCACAUGUGUGUGCAGGCCACAGGAUGAGCCCAGGUGUUAUUUCUCAGGCCCAUCCACCUUUUUGUUUUGAGACAGGGUCUCUCACUGGCCUGGAAAUCACCCAGCAGGUUGACCAGAGAGCCUCUGGGUUAGGCUGAUCUCCACUUCUCCAGAACUGGGAUCACAAGAAUGCAUCCCUGUAC
Peromyscus maniculatus bairdii (prairie deer mouse) is the source of this 1329-nucleotide long non-coding RNA. RefSeq lists it as uncharacterized. The record is from RefSeq and is a predicted model, not a curated record. NCBI's taxonomy places the organism in Eukaryota, Metazoa, Chordata, Mammalia, Rodentia, Cricetidae.